UGAUUAGGUAGUUGGUAGGGUAACGGCCUACCAAGCCGACGAUCAGUAGGGGUUCUGAGAGGAUUACCCCCCACACUGGUACUGAGACACGGACCAGACUCCUACGGGAGGCAGCAGUGAGGAAUAUUGGUCAAUGGGCGAGAGCCUGAACCAGCCAUCCCGCGUGCAGGAUGACGGCCCUAUGGGUUGUAAACUGCUUUUCUGCGCCAAGAAACCUGUCAACGUGUUGACAGCUGACGGUAGCGUAGGAAUAAGCACCGGCUAUCUCCGUGCCAGCAGCCGCGGUAAUACGGAGGGUGCAAGCGUUAUCCGGAUUCAUUGGGUUUAAAGGGUGCGCAGGUUGGGGAGUAAGUCAGUGGUGAAAUACUGCCGCUUAACGGCAGAACUGCCAUUGAUACUGCUUUUCUUGAGUAUGGUUGAGGUAGGUGGAAUGUGUUGUGUAGCGGUGAAAUGCAUAGAUAUGACACAGAACGCCGAUUGCGAAGGCAACUUUA
RNAcentral lists this ribosomal RNA (494 nucleotides) under uncultured bacterium. Its description in RNAcentral is "bacterial SSU rRNA". It matches the Rfam family "Bacterial small subunit ribosomal RNA", at positions 238 to 728 of the family's 1533-position model. The record is from RNAcentral.